UACGUAGGGUGCGAGCGUUAAUCGGAAUUACUGGGCGUAAAGCGUGCGCAGGCGGUUCGUUAAGUCAGAUGUGAAAGCCCCGGGCUUAACCUGGGAACUGCGUUUGAAACUGGGAGACUUGAGUGUGGCAGAGGGGGGUGGAAUUCCACGUGUAGCAGUGAAAUGCGUAGAUAUGUGGAGGAACACCGAUGGCGAAGGCAGCCCCCUGGGUUAACACUGACGCUCAUGCACGAAAGCGUGGGGAGCAAACAGG
This 253-nucleotide ribosomal RNA is filed under the name uncultured bacterium. Its description in RNAcentral is "partial 16S ribosomal RNA". It matches the Rfam family "Bacterial small subunit ribosomal RNA", at positions 524 to 776 of the family's 1533-position model. The record is from RNAcentral.